AAAAAAAGCUUCUAAGCUUCAGGUAACCAGGAACCGUACCCCAAACCGACACAGGUGGUUGGGUAGAGAAUACCAAGGCGCUUGAGAGAACUCGGGUGAAGGAACUAGGCAAAAUGGCACCGUAACUUCGGGAGAAGGUGCGCCGGUGAGGGUGAAGCAUUUACUGCGUAAGCCCAUGCCGGUCGAAGAUACCAGGCCGCUGCGACUGUUUAUUAAAAACACAGCACUCUGCAAACACGAAAGUGGACGUAUAGGGUGUGACGCCUGCCCGGUGCCGGAAGGUUAAUUGAUGGGGUUAGCUAACGCGAAGCUCUUGAUCGAAGCCCCGGUAAACGGCGGCCGUAACAAUAACGGUCCUAAGGUAGCGAAAUUCCUUGUCGGGUAAGUUCCGACCUGCACGAAUGGCGUAACGAUGGCGGCGCUGUCUCCACCCGAGACUCAGUGAAAUUGAAAUCGCUGUGAAGAUGCAGUGUAUCCGCGGCUAGACGGAAAGACCCCGUGAACCUUUACUAUAGCUUUGCACUGGACUUUGAAUUUGCUUGUGUAGGAUAGGUGGGAGGCUUUGAAGCGUGGACGCCAGUUCGCGUGGAGCCAACCUUGAAAUACCACCCUGGCAACUUUGAGGUUCUAACUCAGGUCCGUUAUCCGGAUCGAGGACAGUGUAUGGUGGGUAGUUUGACUGGGGCGGUCUCCUCCUAAAGAGUAACGGAGGAGUACGAAGGUGCGCUCAGACCGGUCGGAAAUCGGUCGUAGAGUAUAAAGGCAAAAGCGCGCUUGACUGCGAGACAGACACGUCGAGCAGGUACGAAAGUAGGUCUUAGUGAUCCGGUGGUUCUGUAUGGAAGGGCCAUCGCUCAACGGAUAAAAGGUACUCCGCGGAUAACAGGCUGAUACCGCCCAAGAGUUCAUAUCGACGGCGGUGUUUGGCACCUCGAUGUCGGCUCAUCACAUCCUGGGGCUGAAGCCGGUCCCAAGGGUAUGGCUGUUCGCCAUUUAAAGUGGUACGCGAGCUGGGUUUAGAACGUCGUGAGACAGUUCGGUCCCUAUCUGCCGUGGACGUUUGAGAUUUGAGAGGGGCUGCUCCUAGUACGAGAGGACCGGAGUGGACGAACCUCUGGUGUUCCGGUUGUCACGCCAGUGGCAUUGCCGGGUAGCUAUGUUCGGAAUAGAUAACCGCUGAAAGCAUCUAAGCGGGAAACUAGCCUCAAGAUGAGAUCUCACUGGGACCUUGAGUCCCCUGAAGGGCCGUCGAAGACUACGACGUUGAUAGGUUGGGUGUGUAAGCGCUGUGAGGCGUUGAGCUAACCAAUACUAAUUGCCCGUGAGGCUUGACU
This 1334-nucleotide ribosomal RNA is filed under the name metagenome. RNAcentral describes it as "bacterial LSU rRNA". It matches the Rfam family "Bacterial large subunit ribosomal RNA", at positions 1610 to 2925 of the family's 2925-position model. The record is from RNAcentral.